UAGAGAGUAGUUUAAUAAAAAUUUUAGUUUUGGGAAUUAAAGAAAAGGUAAGAAGUCUUCUCUCUAA
This 67-nucleotide transfer RNA is filed under the name Birgus latro. Its description in RNAcentral is "tRNA-Pro". The record is from RNAcentral. Lineage: Eukaryota; Metazoa; Arthropoda; Malacostraca; Decapoda; Coenobitidae.